GACAGAGGUCCCGAGCGUUAGGCGGAAUCACUGGGCUUAAAGCGUGUGUAGGCGGAUUGGUAAGUACCUUGUGAAAUCCCACGGCUUAACCGUGGAACUGCUUGGUAUACUGCUUAUCUUGGGCCACUUAGGGGCUACCGGAACAAACGGUGGAGCGGUGAAAUGCGUAGAUAUCGUUUGGAACGCCAAUGGUGAAAACAGGUAGCUGGGAGUGUGCCGACGCUGAGACACGAAAGCCAGGGGAGCGAACGGG
This 253-nucleotide ribosomal RNA is filed under the name uncultured bacterium. RNAcentral's name for it is "partial 16S ribosomal RNA". It matches the Rfam family "Bacterial small subunit ribosomal RNA", at positions 524 to 776 of the family's 1533-position model. The record is from RNAcentral.